AAAAAAAACUGAUUCCGAUUUCAGAUCAUUUGGUAGGAUAAAUCGAAACAAGAAAACAAGCCACUGUCCAUUCUCCUCAACACUGGACUGCACUUUGCAUUUGGAAUCUCAGUUCUUCAAUGGCGAAGAACUAUGUCAGAGAGAAUGUGCCACUCUCGCGAUUCGGCGUGCUGGUGGCGCAGCUUGAGUCCAUUGUCGCUUCCUCCUCUCAACAAUCCCCGGAUCCUCUCCUCUGUUUUGAUCUCCUCUCCGAUCUCAUCUCCGCCAUAGACGAAGAACCCAAGGAGUCUAUUUUGUUGUGGCAAAGAAAAUGCGAGGAUGCAUUAUAUUCAUUGCUUGUUCUUGGGGCGCGACGGCCGGUGCGCCAUUUGGCGUCAGUAGCCAUGGCGAGAAUUAUGUCUAAAGGGGAUAAUAUUUCUAUAUACUCGAGAGCUAGCAGUCUCCAAGGGUUUCUUUCUGAUGGGAAGAAGAGCGAACCCCAGAAAGUUGCUGGUGCUGCACAAUGCUUGGGAGAAUUAUAUCAGCACUUUGGAAGAAGAAUUACAUCGGGAUUGCUUGAAACAACUAUUAUUGCAACCAAACUUAUGAAGUUUCAUGAGGAGUUUGUGAGACAAGAAGCUUUACUGAUGCUCCAAAAAGCUUUGGAAGGUUGUGGUGGUAGUGCUGCUUCAUCAGCAUAUAUUGAAGCCUUUCGUCUCAUCACACGUUUUGCUGUUGGGGAUAAAUCAUUUGUUGUGAGAAUAGCUGCUGCUCGUUGUCUGAAGGCAUUUGCCAGCAUUGGAGGACCUGGUUUGGGACUUGGAGAACUUGAGAAUUCAGCAUCUUAUUGUGUCAAGGCCCUUGAGGAUCCUGUAUCAUCUGUCCGAGAUGCAUUUGCUGAAGCUUUAGGUUUGUUGCUAGCUCUUGGAAUGAAUCCUGAGGCUCAGGUUCAACCCAGGGGAAAGGGUCCUUUUUCUCCUGCAAAGAAACUAGAAGGUUGUUUGCAGAGGCAUUUAGCUUUGCCCUUCACAAAAGUGAGUGGAAUUCGGUCGAAGGACAUUAGAAUGGGCAUAACCUUAUCUUGGGUAUCCUUUUUACAGGCUAUUCGUCAUAAGCAUCUACAUCCAGAUAGUGAGCUUCAAAACUAUGCUGUGCAGAUUAUGGAAAUGCUUCAUGUAGAUGCUUCUGUUGAUGCCCAUGCACUGGCAUGCAUUCUUUAUAUAUUGCGCGUUGGUGUAACUGAUCAGAUGACUGAACCUACUCAAAGGGGCUUUCUGGUGUUCCUUGGAAAGCAGCUUGAGUCUGCAGAUGGCAGUCCUUCCAUGAAAAUUGCUGCUUUACGAACUUUGUCAUACACAUUGAAAACGUUGGGUGAGGUUCCAUCAGAAUUCAAGGAAGUAAUUGACGACACAGUUGUUGCUGCUGUUUCUCAUUCUUCACAACUUGUACGCAUUGAGGCUGCUUUAACAUUGCGCGUAUUGGCUGAGGUUGAUCCUACAUGUGUUGGUGGUUUGAUUUCCUACGGAGUAACCACACUAAGUGCUUUGAGAGAAAAUGUUUCUUUUGAAAAGGGGAGCAAUUUGAAAGUUGAGCUUGAUUCUUUGCAUGGACAAGCUACAGUUGUGGCAGCUUUGGUGUCCGUUUCACCCAAAUUACCUCUUGGUUAUCCAGCUAGAUUGCCUAGAUCAGUGCUUGAAGUUUCAAAGAAAAUGUUAACAGAACCUAGUCGCAACCCUAUGGCUGGAACAGUUGAAAAAGAAGCUGGAUGGCUACUUCUAUCGUCUUUAUUAUCUUCUAUGCCAAAGGAGGAGCUUGAAGACCAGGUCUUUGAUAUUCUUUCAUUGUGGGCUCCACUCUUUGGUGGAAAUCCAGAACAAGAUAUUAAGCAAAUUGGGGAUUUGACAUCAAGAAUUAGUGUGUGGUCUUCUGCUGUUCAUGCACUUACAGCAUUUAUAAAAUGCUUUAUUUCUCCUAGUGCUGUGAACAAUGGAGUCCUACUUCAACCAGUAAUGGUAUAUCUGAAUAGUGCCCUGUCCUAUAUACGACUGCUGCAAAGCAAAGAACUAGCAAACAUUAAGCCAGCAUUUGACAUAUUCAUGAUCAGAACAUUAAUUGCUUAUCAAUCAAUUCCUGAUCCAAUGGCAUACAAAAGCGACCAUCCCCGGAUUAUCCAAUUAUGUACAGUUCCAUAUAGGGAUGCUUCUAGAUGUGAGGAAAGCUCAUGCUUGAGGUUGCUGCUUGACAAAAGAGACGCAUGGUUGGGUCCUUGGAUUCCUGGAAGAGAUUGGUUUGAAGAUGAACUUCGUGCUUUUCAAGGCGGGAAAGAUGGCCUUAUGCCUUGUGUGUGGGAGAAUGAACCCUCAAGUUUUCCUCAGCCUGAAACAAUAAAAAAGACAUUGGUGAACCAGAUGCUCCUCUGCUUUGGAAUCAUGUUUGCUUCUCAGGAUAGUGGUGGGAUGCUGCAACUUCUUGGAAUGGUUGAGCAGUGUAUAAAAGCUGGAAAAAAGCAAACAUGGCAUGCAGCCAGUGUUACAAAUAUAUGCGUGGGAUUGCUUGCGGGGUUAAAGGCUUUGAUAGCUUUACGUCCUCAACCUUUAGGAUCUGAGAUAUUAAAUCCAGCACAAGCUAUAUUUCAGAGCAUUUUGGCAGAGGGAGAUGUUUGUGCUUCCCAAUGUAGAGCAUCAUCGGAAGGUCUUGGUCUUCUAGCUCGCCUCGGAAAUGAUGCUUUUACAGCCAGAAUGACAAGAUUGCUUCUUGGUGACCUUACUGGGGCGACAGAUUCGAACUACGCUGGAUCAAUAUCUUUUGCACUUGGAUGCAUUCAUCGCAGUGCAGGAGGAAUGGCAUUGUCAAGUUUAGUGCCCGCAACUGUGAGCUCAAUAUCAUCACUGGCUAAAAGUACCACCACUGGUUUACAGAUCUGGUCCCUGCAUGGACUUCUUUUGACUAUUGAAGCUGCUGGUUUCUCGUAUGUAUCUCAUGUUCAGGCAACACUUGGCCUGGCUAUGGACAUUCUUUUUUCUGAGGAGAAUGGAUUGGUUGACCUUCAGCAAGGAGUUGGCCGUCUUAUAAAUGCUAUUGUUGCUGUACUUGGUCCUGAACUUGCCCCUGGCAGCAUUUUCUUUUCACGCUGCAAGUCUGUCAUUGCAGAGAUAAGCUCCUGGCAAGAAACUGCAACAUUGCUCGAGAGUGUCCGUUUUACUCAACAACUUGUUCUUUUUGCCCCACAAGCCGUUUCUGUGCAUUCUCAUGUGCAAACUCUCCUCUGGACUCUGUCCUCAAGACAGCCAACUUUACGGCACCUUGCUGUCUCCACCCUACGACAUCUAAUUGAAAAGGACCCGGUGCUUGUGCUGAUGCUAUUUGUAACAGGUCUCCGUUAUUGAUGAGCAAAUAGAAGAUAACUUGUUUCGCAUGCUAGAUGAGGAAACUGAUUCUGAGAUUGGUAAUCUGGUACGUGCCACAAUUAUGCGUUUGCUGUUUGCAUCGUGCCCUUCUCGUCCAUCUCACUGGAUAUUGAUAUGUCGUAAAAUGGUUCUCUCUACAUCAGCAAGACAACUUACUGAAGACAAUAGUGACACAGGAAAUUAUAAUCUUAAUGGUCCAGACAGUGACUCACAAUUAAACUUUGGAGAAGAUGAUGAAAAUAUGGUCUCUGGAUCUAAGGGCACACCAGUGCAAGGUUAUGCAUAUGAAGCUUCCAACGUUAACCCUAGUAGAGAUAAGCACCUCAGAUACCGAACAAGAGUUUUUGCUGCUGAGUGCUUGAGUCAUCUGCCUACAGCUGUGGGAAACAAUCCAACUCAUUUUGACCUCUCUUUGGCAAGAAAAAGACCAACUGAAGUUAUAUCUGGAGAUUGGUUGGUCCUCCAUGUGCAAGAGCUGAUUUCAUUGGCUUAUCAGAUAAGCACAAUUCAGUUCGAAAACAUGCGACCAAUUGGUGUGGGACUUCUUACUACCAUUGUGGAUACGUUUGAAACAAUACCUGACCCAGA
Molecule: unclassified non-coding RNA, 3974 nt
Filed under: Hevea brasiliensis (rubber tree)
Lineage: Eukaryota; Viridiplantae; Streptophyta; Magnoliopsida; Malpighiales; Euphorbiaceae
Source: RNAcentral